GCUGGAAUGAAUGGUUUGACGAAAAUUGAGCUGUCUCUGUUUUAUUUGUUAGAAAUUAAUUUUUAUAGUGAAAAAGCUUGAAUGGUUUAGAGGGACGAGAAGACCCUAUUGA
RNAcentral lists this ribosomal RNA (112 nucleotides) under Octopus sp. KP-2015. RNAcentral describes it as "partial 16S ribosomal RNA". Lineage: Eukaryota; Metazoa; Mollusca; Cephalopoda; Octopoda; Octopodidae. The record is from RNAcentral.